RNAcentral lists this non-coding RNA (29 nucleotides) under Mus musculus (house mouse). The record is from RNAcentral. Lineage: Eukaryota; Metazoa; Chordata; Mammalia; Rodentia; Muridae.
UGGAGAUUCAGAGCAAGCCGCACCUCUGG